This 720-nucleotide ribosomal RNA is filed under the name Triticum aestivum (bread wheat). Its description in RNAcentral is "partial small subunit ribosomal RNA". Lineage: Eukaryota; Viridiplantae; Streptophyta; Magnoliopsida; Poales; Poaceae. The record is from RNAcentral.
AUGGCUUGCUACCCCUGCAAUCCUUACCCACACCUCCCUGCCGGCACCACAAUCAUCACUCCUAGACCUAAGCACGCGCAUCGAGGCUAUGUCGUCCUAGGUGGUGAGCUCCCGAUAGUCUGUGGUGAGUGGGUCAUUGCUACUCUAGUUCCAGGCAUCUCUCCUGAAGAUUUUCCGGCCGCCAAUGCAAUGAUCUCAGAGUUCCUGGAAGCUAGUGGUUGGCGGAGCAACUACAUGUCGUGAUGUGGUAUGGGCACUAUUCUGAUUCAGUUUACUACUGCAUGUUCGAGGGACUUUGCUGUCAGUAACAGUCUAUAUGAGAUUAGGGACUCUGUUCUUCGCAUCACUAGGCAUGACAAGAGCUUGAACUAUCGUAGUAUUGCUUUUACCCAUGAUGUUUGGCUCAUAUUGAUGAACUACCCGCUCGAGUGCUGGGAUGUUGGAGUUGUCAGUCGUACUGUCUCUUAGUAUGGUAGGUUUUUGAUCUUGAACAAAGAUCCUAGAGACAAAACUAGAAAUAUUGUGAAAGUCAGAGUUAUGAGUGUAGAUACACUUCGUGUUAGUAUUAUUGUAUUGCGCAAUCUUGAUGAUGUUGGAUAUGGUGACUCAUGGACAUGCCCCACUUACAUUCUAUCACGUGAGGUAAUUGGAAAUCAUGGUGGAGAUGAGGAUCCUCUUCCUCCUAAUGGAGGUAAUUCCCAUCCACUACCACAAAUCUAG